CCUACGGGAGGCAGCAGUGGGGAAUAUUGCACAAUGGGGGAAACCCUGAUGCAGCGACGCCGCGUGAGUGAAGAAGUAAUUCGUUACGUAAAGCUCUAUCAGCAGGGAAGAAACACUGACCUUACGGUCAGCAGACGGUACCUGAGUAAGAAGCCCCGGCUAACUACGUGCCAGCAGCCGCGGUAAUACGUAGGGGGCAAGCGUUAUCCGGAUUUACUGGGUGUAAAGGGAGCGUAGACGGUGCGCCAAGUCUGGAGGGAAAUGCCGCAGCUUAACUUGGGAACGGCUUUGGAAACUGGCGAACUAGAGGGCGGGAGGGGGAAGCGGAAUUCCUAGUGUAGCGGUGAAAUGCGUAGAGAUUAGGAGGAACACCGGUGGCGAAGGCGGCUUACUGGACCGUAACUGACGUUGAGGCUCGAAAGCGUGGGGAGCAAACAGGAUUAGAUACCCCGGUAGUC
RNAcentral lists this ribosomal RNA (458 nucleotides) under uncultured bacterium. RNAcentral describes it as "partial 16S ribosomal RNA". It matches the Rfam family "Bacterial small subunit ribosomal RNA", at positions 338 to 795 of the family's 1533-position model. The record is from RNAcentral.